GACGCGACGCCAUCUUUUAUGUAUUCUAUCGUGGUGCGCGUCCUUCUGUGAGUUAGCUGACGGAAAUAUGGUUCAGGGUUGUUUUUGCCCAUGCCCCAUCAUCUGCCGCGAUCCUGGACAAGUUGGCGAUCAACAACAGGAUCCGGCCUGCGUGCAAUGGCCAGUGAAGUCUAUCCCAGUGCCUGUAUUAUUAUCAAGUCAUCACGCUGUCGUCGUCGGACUCGUCGGUUACAAAUGACGCGGCAGAUCUCUCUUAAGCUUAGAAAGAUGGUUGUGGCGCAGUGCUCUGCUACUUCGUGCCACAGGCCAUUCUCCAACUGCAGAUCUACGUGUCAGCGCGACAGUGCACUCACUCACCUUGUUUGGCCCGGUGGAAUUUGGUAUGUCACUUGAGGCGAGGAGGACUUGAGAAGGUGCGUCUGCGAACGGCCUUAGUGACGCCUCUUCAGCGCGACGGGUGGUCUCCUCAAAUAUGAGAAGGAGCUCGGGUCCUGCGGGCUCUUAACCGUCGUAGUAUUCACGCAGUGUUUUAAAAUAGUGUUUGUGUGUAUUAUGAUAACAUUUAUGUUCAAUUCAAAUGUCUAACUCUACAUAAGUAUUCAUAUCAUUUUUCAUUAGUAUGGUGCUGUUUUUGCGGUCUGAAGAAAAAACUUUAAAUAAAAUAAUUAUGUUGUCUGUA
This is a long non-coding RNA of Leguminivora glycinivorella, 679 nucleotides long. RefSeq lists it as uncharacterized. The record is from RefSeq and is a predicted model, not a curated record. The transcript has 4 exons. Lineage: Eukaryota; Metazoa; Arthropoda; Insecta; Lepidoptera; Tortricidae.